Molecule: long non-coding RNA, 545 nt
Filed under: Bos taurus (domestic cattle)
Lineage: Eukaryota; Metazoa; Chordata; Mammalia; Artiodactyla; Bovidae
Description: long non-coding RNA NONBTAT017717
Source: RNAcentral
CAAACUAGAACAUGGCUAGUAUAUGACAUUGUAAAACAAACCAAAAAAAAUCUGAUCCUCCAAUAGCAGCAAAACAAUGUGAAAGAUAAAGAGAAGCAACGUGGAUGUUUCCAGACUGUUCUGGGAAGUCAUCGGUAGCAGCGAACAAAGAAAACGGAACCGCAGCCUGUCCCUCGCGUGGUCCCCGCCCGCCUCCCCUCCGCACACUUCCACUCUCACCUCCUUGCUCCCUUCACACUCUCCCUACAGGAUAAUUACAAAAAGGUACACAGCCAAGAUGUGCAAAUUACCUAUCGGUUGCUAAGUUUUUUUUAUGAAAGGAUCUAACUUUAAUAAACUGUCCUACACUUGCGACAUCUAAGGCAGAAAAAGUUGGCACUGAAGGAUUCCUAAACUUCAGCUUCUCUACAGAAAAGGAAAGGAACACACCAUCCUGGCAACGUGAAGAAUGAAUGCACACUUUCUUCUCCUCGACCAGAACCUAGUCCUCCAAAGUAUCACCACCCCCUUCCGCUAACACCACAGUGACAAGCACCUGCCUUGCG